This 403-nucleotide ribosomal RNA is filed under the name Verrucomicrobiota bacterium. RNAcentral describes it as "Verrucomicrobia bacterium partial 16S ribosomal RNA". It matches the Rfam family "Bacterial small subunit ribosomal RNA", at positions 355 to 776 of the family's 1533-position model. Lineage: Bacteria; Pseudomonadati; Verrucomicrobiota. The record is from RNAcentral.
UGGGGAAUAUUGCACAAUGGGCGCAAGCCUGAUGCAGCAACGCCGCGUGAACGAUGAAGGUCUUCGGAUCGUAAAGUUCUGUUGCAGGGGAAGAUAAUGACGGUACCCUGUGAGGAAGCCCCGGCUAACUACGUGCCAGCAGCCGCGGUAAUACGUAGGGGGCUAGCGUUAUCCGGAUUUACUGGGCGUAAAGGGUGCGUAGGUGGUCUUUCAAGUCGGUGGUUAAAGGCUACGGCUCAACCGUAGUUAGCCUCCGAAACUGGAAGACUUGAGUGCAGGAGAGGAAAGUGGAAUUCCCAGUGUAGCGGUGAAAUGCGUAGAUAUUGGGAGGAAGACCAGUAGCGAAGGCGGCUUUCUGGACUGCAACUGACACUGAGGCACGAAAGCGUGGGUAGCAAACAGG